Molecule: ribosomal RNA, 253 nt
Filed under: uncultured bacterium
Lineage: Bacteria
Description: partial 16S ribosomal RNA
Rfam family: Bacterial small subunit ribosomal RNA
Source: RNAcentral
UACAGGGGGUGCAAACGUUGCUCGGAAUCAUUGGGCGUAAAGCGCACGUAGGCGGUUCGUUAUGUCGGAUGUGAAAGCCCUUGGCUUAACCGAGGAAGUGCAUCCGAAACUGGCGAGCUAGAGUACUAAAGAGGAUCGCGGAAUUCCCGGUGUAGAGGUGAAAUUCGUAGAUAUUCGGAAGAACACCAGUGGCGAAGGCGGCUCACUGGCCCGGUACUGACGCUGAGGUGCGAAAGCGUGGGGAGCAAACAGG